GCCGGGCGUGGUGGCGAGCGCCUGUAGUCCCCAGCUACUUGGGAGGUUGAGGCAGGAGAAUGGUGUGAACCCGGGAGGCGGAGCUUGCAGUGAGCCGAGAUCGUGCCACUGCAUUCCAGCCUGGGCGACAGAGCGAGACUCCGUCUACAAAAAAAAAAAAAAAAAUUNNNNNNNNNNGUCUCGCUCUGUCGCCCAGGCUGGAAUGCAGUGGCACGAUCUCAGCUCACUGCAAGCUCCGCCUCCCGGGUUCACGCCAUUCUCCUGCCUCAG
This 270-nucleotide signal recognition particle RNA is filed under the name Chlorocebus sabaeus (green monkey). Its description in RNAcentral is "Metazoan signal recognition particle RNA". It matches the Rfam family "Metazoan signal recognition particle RNA". From Rfam's summary of the family: The signal recognition particle (SRP) is a universally conserved ribonucleoprotein. It is involved in the co-translational targeting of proteins to membranes. The record is from Rfam by way of RNAcentral. Lineage: Eukaryota; Metazoa; Chordata; Mammalia; Primates; Cercopithecidae.